AAAUUAGGAGAAGAAAAAUAAAUAAAAUAGAGUUGGUCCACGUUUCUUCUUCUUUUGUCGUCGUUGUCUCCUUCACCGUGAAUUAGGGUUUGCACUUUUGCAGAGUUUCAAUUUACUCUCAUUAUCGCAUGCCCGUUCCUCUCUAAUUAUGUUUUUCAUGUUCCCUUACCACUGAUUUUAAAGAUUCCCCAGAAAUUUUCAGGCAAAAAGAAAAAGUUACGCCACUUCCUUUCUCUUUCCAAUCUAAUCUUGAGUGAAAAAUAUAUAAAUAUCCGGAGCUUAUUGGGGAUCAAGUAUUAAGAUAUGCCUCGAGACUUGUCGCGAUCCCGAUCGCCUCCUUAUAGACGGAGGCAUUCGCCAUCUCCGGUGGGACACAGGUCUAGCAAGAGGGGUAGAAGAGACCGAAGCAGAUCUCCCUAUUCAUCCUACUCUUACAGCAGGUGACCCCGUUAGUAUGUUUAUUUUUUUCCUGAUGAAUCUUGUGUUGAGCUACGAUGAAUUGGGGAUUCGUGUUUUACAAUUUUUUCUCUCCUGUGUUAAAUCUUCUUUUUCUCAAUAUUUUGUUGCUGACUAUCCUCUUUUAUAAUGUAACUGUAAACUGUAUCGUGUUGCAUGCUAGAUUUUCUUUCAGGUUUGGUGCUCUAUGGACGUACCGAGGACGUUAUGCAAUUAUAAUAUUUUCUGUCUUCUAUAUUAGAAAAUAGGAUUGGACUUCAACCUGAGAAUAUGACAUAAGUUGUUUAUUGAUUUGGGUUAUAACUUGUAUGUAUAAAAUUGUAUUUUAGUAAGCUUUUUUCUCUUUCAAUUAGUUGUCUCAAAUCACAAAAAAGAAUAUAUCUUUAUUCAAGUAUUUAUUGAGAUCUGACUAUUUUUGGUUUGAAGAAAUGAACAUAGCAUGUUAGGAUUAAUGAGCUAUGGUAUUGUAAUGACCGAAAUAGGUAGUUCGAAGUUGAACCCCGUGGUCGUUCAAGCUGGUUAUUUAAAUUCAACAUAUACUUGGUAUUUUCGUAUCAUUCGCCUUCCUUUUUGUAUAUGCUCAAGUGGAGUGGACAAGAAGGGCAGUUUGAUACCUUUUAUUUUGCUGCUUGGCUCUCUUUUUCUGUUUAGCUCCUUGAGAAUGAGAUACAUACUAUUUUUGCUGGAUGGUUAAUACUGCUAAUAUUAAAAUAUUUUAUGACAACGUUGUCAUAAGUGUCUGGUGAUGAUGAUGUUGCUGACUUUGUUAGACAUUCUAUAUAGUUUCUUCCCUUUGCGGGAUUUUUCUUUUUAUAUACAAAGGUGGAAACUCAUCAAAAUUUAAUGUAUAUAGACCAUAAUAUAGAGAACAAGAUAGGAUAUGUGCUAUUUAUAACAAAAUAAAAAAGAUCAGUUCCUUCCCUUAACAUGGGAAGUGAGGGACGUGAACAGGUGGUAGGUGCUGAUGGGGUGUUUUUUCAUUGCUCGAUUGUGACAUUUGCUUCUUCAUGUGAUAAAAGAUGGAGCACACAAUGGUUAUUCUUAGCAAUUUCUGAGGUAACUGUACAUGUUUUUGUAUUUAGCGUGCUAGAUGGUGGGCAGCAUUUAUAAUCUCCAAAGAUAGUUGUUUAGUUGCUGAAGUUCAUUACUUAUAAUCACGUGUCAUCAUACAGGCGAAAAAGUCGUUCUAUUUCACCAAGAAAUUACCGAAGCCCUUCUACAACUCCAAGACGUCGUCGAAGCCGAUCUCCAUCUGCUAAAAGAUACAGAAGACAUAGAAGUAGGAGUUCUUCAUUUUCUCCUGCUCGUAAAUCUUCCAGUUCAAGUCUUGGGUCAGUAGAGCACAGAACUGCAACUGAAAAACAAAAGAAAGAAGAAGAGAAGAAAAGAACUUUGGAACACUGAUGCUGUUAAAUGUGCCAUUCUCUCAUAUGAAAAAAAGGUGCAUUACGUAUCAAUAACAGACUGCCUGGAAAAUUAGGCAAGGAAGGUUAUAAUGGUAAAAUUUUGUAAUUCUUGUAAUAUUUUUGGUGAGUAGUUCUAGUCUCAAAUGUUCCAUCUGCUUUGUGUCUAUUUCAAAUAUUGCCUUACUCUACUUUCUGGUAUUUUAAUAAUGUUCUGCUAUUUGUUUAUACUUUACUAAAUUUCAUGUUGUGUAGGGAUAUGAUGGAUUAUUAGUUAUAAUACGAGACAGUUGCAUUGGGAAGACAAAAUUUUCUGUCGUUUUACCAUUAUGUUAUCUUUUGGCUGAAGACUAUGAUACUAUUAAAUUUUUAGUCUUGCCCCUGUUUUCUCGCUCUCAACCUGCUACUUUCCUAAGCUCCUAGCCUUCAAAGUGAUCUUAAUUAGUGCUUUUCUUUGUCUGCAAAGAAAAGAAACAUAAAAUAGGACAUUAAAUCUUUUUCUUCCAUUUAAUUUCUUGUCAGGCAGAGCUUGUCUUUGUCUGCUAAAUUAGUUCAAUUACUGUUAUUUCCCAGGGUCUUUACCAGAAAUCUGUUGUUGGGUGGUGGGGGGAGGGAAACCUCCCGCAUCCUGAUUUCUCCUUUUCCCUUGGGUCUAUCAUGACCUCCCUAAAAGGUUAAAAAGAUAAAGAGACUCAACUUUAAUGAUUGUUACUUUCUGCUUAUUGGUAAUAUUUUCUUUCAGUGCUAUGAAACUGAAAUUUUAGAUCUUAAUUGUUGAGCAAUUUUCUUCAUCCCUGUGAUAUAUUGAACCAUAGCUAUGUCAUUUGAUUAUGCAUUUCAAGUAGGAUAAGACUUUUGUUGUUUAAACAUUUUCAGUCUCAAAUGUCUAAGACAUAUUCUUAUUUAUUUGUCCAUACAAAAUUUUACAUCAUUGAUCCCAUCUUUUGGAUGUUGCCACUUCUACGGUGGUGCUUAUUUGUUGCUGACUAAAGGGUUAGAAUAUUUAAUCAGAUAUUUCUUGAGUUAUAUACUUAACUUAUUUAGUCUUCUGAACCCUCUACUAUCUCUCUGCACUGGUGAUGGACCAAUUUAAAGACUGGAUGUCCUAGUAAUCAUUAACUGUCUGUUUGGCUCACUUCUGGUUCAGUUGGAUUCAUGAACUUGUUUCUGUAGUACCACACGCUCCAAGAGAUAGAUCUGAUCCUGUGAGCCUCCUCAAAGGGUCUAGUCAUCAGGUUUAUAGACUAGAAUGCCUUUAAUUUUGGUUAUGGGGAUCCUUUGGAUGCAAAGUUCAUCCCCUUAUAUCAUUCUCUCAUAGUUUAGACCGGAUAAUUAUCAGCGUAAAACUCUGGAUCGACGGAGUAAAUAUUAAUUUCAAUAGGGUGAACAUAUGGUUUUUUAAUUGUUUUGAUUCUUCUGGCACUUAACUAACAAAAGAACUUGACCUAUCUUCUACAAUUAACUUAUCAAAUAUGUUUAGUGUAAAAAUUCUAGUAUUUCCGUGAAUAGCUUAAAACUGCAGCAUGUUACUUGAAUUUCUUCUUCACAGGCUUGUCUGAAGCAAGGUACUGCUAUAAUUGGACUUGUUAUGUUUGAUGAUCAAAUUGGCUGCCUCAUUUAUCUACUGUUCACCAGUUUUGAAACUCAUUUGUUUGGAUCAGGAUUCAAUAGAGGUAUGCCUUAAAAGCAUAACCAUUUAUUAGUGCCAUUGUCAUCAUGGAGGCGUCAACUUGAAGCAGAGUUGAAACUAAUAGAAGAAGAGACUGCCAAGAGAGUUGAAGAAGCAAUCCGAAGGAGAGUGGAAGAAAGCUUGAAUUCUGAGGAGGUUCAGGUGGAGAUUCAAAGGCGGUUGGAAGAGGGACG
RNA transcript from Vigna angularis (adzuki bean), 3722 nucleotides. RefSeq lists it as uncharacterized. The transcript is spliced from 4 exons. The record is from RefSeq and is a predicted model, not a curated record. Lineage: Eukaryota; Viridiplantae; Streptophyta; Magnoliopsida; Fabales; Fabaceae.